Molecule: ribosomal RNA, 1433 nt
Filed under: Triticum aestivum (bread wheat)
Lineage: Eukaryota; Viridiplantae; Streptophyta; Magnoliopsida; Poales; Poaceae
Description: partial small subunit ribosomal RNA
Source: RNAcentral
CACCCCUCGCUCGACUGCGCCUGCCAGAGACGAUCUCUCUCCUCCACUACAUAGCUAGCCAGGGUGCCAAAUCCCGUUCCUCUCGGACGCGCCCUCUACAUCCGGCUGUGGUACCGACAAACCGACUCGUGUUGACGGGGCGACCCUAAACUUCUUAGGUGGUAGGAAGUCAAAGAGACGUCCGUAAGUACCGUCCACUACACGGGUAGGAAUGCAACUGAGCAAUGUCCAUGCACAUAAAUACGGGGAUGGUGAGAAGUGAUUAAGAAAGGUGAGGCCGUUGUGUUGUAGGUAAUCAUACCACGAGCCGAUCCAAGGGGAUAUACAGAAAGGGCAAGUACCUGUCAAGGAAGAAUGUGGUUUGUUAAUGUAAUAGGACUAUAGUAGAGUUAGGCUUUAAAACACGUCCACUACAAGUAUGACCAACACCAGUUAAAUAAAGCCGUCUAGAACCUCCGACCAUGAGGGUAAAGAAUGAAGCCUUUACGAAGUUGACUAUUAAAGGCUACCGGAGACCUGUCCGAAUGGGACACACCAGUCGUAAACGCUCUAGUCCCACGGUCGUACCGAUGAAUGUCAAAUUCUUCGAAACAAGCGUUACUGUCACUUUCCAAAGGUAAAAGAAGAAGAAAAAGGGACCGACAAAGAUGAAAAGAAGACAAGAGUGGAGGACGGUCGCACUGAGUACUUUUACUCUGUUCCGAACCAUAAGCGACCAAAUCAGAGACUAACUGUAAACUGUCACACGAGACGAUGUGGUCGUCGUCUCGUGUGACAGUUUACACUUAGUGUGUGGAGUGUUGAGCUGGUUGGUGUAGUAGAGGUUGAGGUGUUCAUGUUCUCGUCCCUCAGGGGUACCUGCGCCACCUCAGGAGCAGCGGGAUGAGCGGAGGGCUCGACGCGGUGUUCGACGCCUGGUGGCAUACGCCGACGAAGCCGAGCGGAAGAAGUGGCCAGUGGCCGCGCCCCUCCGGCGUGUGGCCACCGCCGUCCCGGUCCUCCUCCGCUACGCACCGUCGGUACCCCCUCAAGUCCAUGCUGGGCGAGUCGAUACGCGAGUUGAAGCUGCUCCCGCCGUCGCUGCUGCUGCGGAAGGCCAUGUCCUUGAAGUUGAGCGCUGAAGGCGGGAACGGCUGUGGCCGACGGGCCGCAGAGUGGUGCCAGCGGUAGCGGACUUGACUUAGUAUCAUCGAUCGUUGGCAGCAAAAAAUGAACACAUCCAAGACAGAGAGACUAAAACAUUCGUUAAGUCCUCCAUGGUAGGAUGGUCAUCGUCGAUGGUAUGCACGCAUUUACUAAAAAAAACAGUCAAAUGUUCAGUUACAGGGCCAACAAGCGGUAACAUUGACUUCAUUUACAUGUUCUUCUUCUUCGUAAACUUGUUACCCCAACAGAAGACGAUCUACUUGACACUUCCUUUAAAUGUAGAGGAG